Molecule: non-coding RNA, 30 nt
Filed under: Rattus norvegicus (Norway rat)
Lineage: Eukaryota; Metazoa; Chordata; Mammalia; Rodentia; Muridae
Source: RNAcentral
UCCAAAAACAGAGGUGAUGGAGGUGUCAGU